UAUUGCACAAUGGGGGAAACCCUGAUGCAGCAACGCCGCGUGAGUGAAGAAGUAUUUCGGUAUGUAAAGCUCUAUCAGCAGGGAAGAAGAAAGACGGUACCUGACUAAGAAGCCCCGGCUAACUACGUGCCAGCAGCCGCGGUAAUACGUAGGGGGCAAGCGUUAUCCGGAUUUACUGGGUGUAAAGGGAGCGUAGACGGCCAGACAAGUCAGAAGUGAAAGCCCAGGGCUCAACCCUGGGACUGCUUUUGAAACUGCCGGGCUGGAGUGCAGGAGAGGUAAGCGGAAUUCCUAGUGUAGCGGUGAAAUGCGUAGAUAUUAGGAGGAACACCAGUGGCGAAGGCGACUUUCUGGACAGUAACUGACGUUGAGGCACGAAAGUGUGGGGAGCAAACAGG
RNAcentral lists this ribosomal RNA (398 nucleotides) under uncultured bacterium. RNAcentral describes it as "bacterial SSU rRNA". It matches the Rfam family "Bacterial small subunit ribosomal RNA", at positions 362 to 776 of the family's 1533-position model. The record is from RNAcentral.